UGUUUUUUCCCACCAACUCUCUUUUUGUGCUGGUCAAUUUUUGUAGUAACAAGAACAUAUGCUUUACCUUCAUAAACCUUAACAGAUUUAGGAAGAGAACUUCCAUUGAUACUCUUCUCACCUUUGAAAUUUUCAUGAUGCUCCAAUUUUGGAUUUCUUGGAGGUACACCGGGUAGUUUUGGUAACUGAAUGAUGGGUAUUGGCAAAAGAUCAAAUUUGUCUCCAGAACCCGAGAGCUUAGGAAAAUUAGAUUGGAGAUUGGAUGGAGUGGAAGGAGGGAAUGAAGCAAUAACAAAGAUUAUGGGUUUAGUAUCUGGAUUGACAUUAUUCUUGAUUGUUGCCACAGUUACCUCUUGCAACCUAGCCAGUGAAUAAGCCUCUGAAAGUGUCCUUGGCUUAAACAUAUUCACUGCCAAUUGCAACUCAUCAACCAGUUCAGAGAGCAAAAAAUUCAAUGCUUUCUCUUCUUGAAUUCUAGCUUUUGAAUACAACUGGUUAAAGGAAUUCCAAUAAUCUUGCAAGGUAAAUUCUUGUUUCAAAUUCUUUAAAUCCUCUAAUGGAUCUUCCCUUGCUUUUGUGGAUUCACUUGAGUCAUAUUAUUGGCGAUCUUUAUAUUGCGAAAACUUAUACCAGUAAGCAACGCUUUAAUUUCUUCCAAAGCUUCUUGAUGUCGUUGCUCUGCUUCCUUUCUCAAAACCUCCUGUUGUUGUUCUAAUUCUUGCAUCAUGACAGUGAAUUUUUGUACAAAAUCUUGUGAUUUCAUAUCUUCCAUCGUGGUUAAGGAUCUAACAGCUCUGUUUGUAACCAAAAAAAGACGGAAAGAAAAACAGAUUGAGAGAGAAGAAUGAGAAUGACCAAGAAAGCAGAAUAGGCAAGAAGAGAAAGGAAUGAAAAGAUCAGAAAGAAUAGAGGAGAAUUUAGAAGAACCCUAGGUUCAAGAAAAGAGGAAACGGAAAGGAAGAAUAGCAGCAGCAAAAUCCAUGGCCGAGCGUCAUUUGCUCUGAUACCAAUGUUAUGGAUUUUUUUACAGAAACAGAAAACAGAGAGAAAAUAGAGAAAAAUCAUGAGGGAGAAGAACACAU
RNAcentral lists this unclassified non-coding RNA (1082 nucleotides) under Hevea brasiliensis (rubber tree). Lineage: Eukaryota; Viridiplantae; Streptophyta; Magnoliopsida; Malpighiales; Euphorbiaceae. The record is from RNAcentral.